This 417-nucleotide ribosomal RNA is filed under the name uncultured bacterium. Its description in RNAcentral is "bacterial SSU rRNA". It matches the Rfam family "Bacterial small subunit ribosomal RNA", at positions 362 to 776 of the family's 1533-position model. The record is from RNAcentral.
UAUUGGGCAAUGGACGAGAGUCUGAACCAGCCAAGGAGCGUGAAGGAGGAGAGCGCUAUGGGUUGUAAACUUCUUUUAUAUGGGAAUAAAGUUUUCCACGUGUGGAAUUUUGUAUGUACCAUAUGAAUAAGGAUCGGCUAACUCCGUGCCAGCAGCCGCGGUAAUACGGAGGAUCCGAGCGUUAUCCGGAUUUAUUGGGUUUAGAGGGAGCGUAGGUGGACAGUUAAGUCAGUUGUGAAAGUUUGCGGCUCAACCGUAAAAUUGCAGUUGAUACUGGCUGUCUUGAGUACAGUAGAGGUGGGCGGAAUUCGUGGUGUAGCGGUGAAAUGCUUAGAUAUCACGAAGAACUCCGAUUGCGAAGGCAGCUCACUGGACUGCAACUGACACUGAUGCUCGAAAGUGUGGGUACCAAACAGG